CCAAUAGCGUAUAUUAAAGUUGUUGCAGUUAAAAAGCUCGUAGUUGAAUUUCGGGAUCAUCAGGUUGGUCGUGCCUCUGGUAUGUACUGAUUUCGAUGGUCCCUCCUUCUUGAAGAGCCGUAAUGCCAUUAAUUUGGUGUUGCGGGGAAUCAGGACUGUUACUUUGAAAAAAUUAGAGUGUUUAAAGCAGGCAAUCGCUUGAAUACAUUAGCAUGGAAUAAUGAAAUAGGACGUUCGAUCCUAUUUUGUUGGUUUCUAGGACCGCCGUAAUGAUUAAUAGGGACAGUCGGGGGCAUCAGUAUUCAAUUGUCAGAGGUGAAAUUCUUGGAUUUAUUGAAGACUAACUACUGCGAAAGCAUUUGCCAAGGAUGUUUUCAUUAAUCAGUGAACGAAAGUUAGGGGAUCGAAGACGAUCAGAUACCGUCGUAGUCUUAACCAUAAACUAUGCCGACUAGGGAUCGGAUGAUGUUAAUUUUUUAAUGACUCAUUCGGCGCCUUACG
RNAcentral lists this ribosomal RNA (501 nucleotides) under uncultured Glomus. RNAcentral describes it as "SSU rRNA". It matches the Rfam family "Eukaryotic small subunit ribosomal RNA", at positions 591 to 1092 of the family's 1831-position model. The record is from RNAcentral. Lineage: Eukaryota; Fungi; Glomeromycota; Glomeromycetes; Glomerales; Glomeraceae.